This 497-nucleotide ribosomal RNA is filed under the name uncultured bacterium. Its description in RNAcentral is "partial 16S ribosomal RNA". It matches the Rfam family "Bacterial small subunit ribosomal RNA", at positions 28 to 507 of the family's 1533-position model. The record is from RNAcentral.
GAUGAACGCUGGCGGCGUGCCUAAUACAUGCAAGUCGAGCGAACAGACGAGGAGCUUGCUCCUUUGACGUUAGCGGCGGACGGGUGAGUAACACGUAGGUAACCUACCUAUAAGACUGGGAUAACUUCAGGAAACCGGAGCUAAUACCGGAUAAUAUUUCGAACCGCAUGGUUCGAUAGUGAAAGAUGGCUUUGCUAUCACUUAUAGAUGGACCUGCGCCGUAUUAGCUAGUUGGUAAGGUAACGGCUUACCAAGGCAACGAUACGUAGCCGACCUGAGAGGGUGAUCGGCCACACUGGAACUGAGACACGGUCCAGACUCCUACGGGAGGCAGCAGUAGGGAAUCUUCCGCAAUGGGCGAAAGCCUGACGGAGCAACGCCGCGUGAGUGAUGAAGGUCUUCGGAUCGUAAAACUCUGUUAUUAGGGAAGAACAAACGUGUAAGUAACUGUGCACGUCUUGACGGUACCUAAUCAGAAAGCCACGGCUAACUACGUG